Molecule: non-coding RNA, 24 nt
Filed under: Drosophila melanogaster (fruit fly)
Lineage: Eukaryota; Metazoa; Arthropoda; Insecta; Diptera; Drosophilidae
Source: RNAcentral
UGAUUGCGAGCACAAAACGGUGGA